Anser brachyrhynchus (Pink-footed goose) is the source of this 2840-nucleotide long non-coding RNA. NCBI's taxonomy places the organism in Eukaryota, Metazoa, Chordata, Aves, Anseriformes, Anatidae. The record is from Ensembl.
AUGAAGCAGAUCUUCCAUCUGGGUGAAAGCCAUUCUGGCCCCAGACAAGGUGUGCUCAGACUCAGCCAGCAGGGAUUCACAAAAGAUAACAGCUCCAGUGAACACGCAUUUCUGCUUCGCUUUUCUUUUUUCUGCUCUGCAGCACUGAGCAGGCUGAGAGGCUCAGAGGUUGGGGCUGCUUGGCUUGUGCGUAACCCCACAGAAGGAACUGGAGCUUCUGGGAGAAGUCCCUUGCUUUUUCUAAACUCAUGUCUACACAGGAAUGCACGACUGCCGUUCCAGCUGCCUGGUGCUACCCAGCAUUUCUCUCCAGUGGGCCGCCUGUCACCGGGAAAACAGGACAUCGGUUCUCACCUCCCGGACUGGAGCCUCAGAAGAACGUUUUUACGGAAAACGGCUCUGCUGUGAUGUUUUCCCAGGCUACUUCUUCGUUACACCCAAAGCUGUCCCACCAGCCACCUGACAGCUCUCUGCUCAGCAAGGGCAAGCAGAAGGGAAAGGUGCACCCCAGGGUGCAGCUGCGUGCUCGUGGUUUUUCUGGGGCAUCCCCAGCUGAAAGCUGCUUCCCGUUUUAGGAAGGAAGAGUAUCCAAAAUGCCACCACCUGCCUCCUUUGAGCUUGUGUUCCCCUCCCCGAGCUUAACAAGGAAGGUCAGGCUUCCUUAAACUUCACUACCGCAGCAGCUUGGUGUAUCAGAAGACCAAGAGUGAACUUCCUUAAAAAUGAUGGAGAAGUUAACAGAUUCCGCAUUAACAGAUAUAACCAAGAAUAUCUGAAUAUUAAUUCAAGCUACUGAGCUGAACAGAGAUGAAGAGUCCUUUGGGGAAAAGGGAAUGUGAAAUGGAUCAAGAUUUUAGCAGGGCCAUGGUGAAUAAUUUUGCACUGACGAGUCACGAAUGUACAUGAUGGAGACAGAAAUAUCAGAGAAGAUCCUACACAAACACCUUUUCAGUGCUUUUUAAUCUUUUCAUUUGCUUCCAGGGUGCAAUGCUCCCUCCAUCUUUCAGGUCCGUGGCAUGAGGUAUAGUACAGGAGGGAAUUAUCUUCUUGCAUAUGGAGAGUUUAGGCCCCCUUAAAGGGGUUUGCUGGAUAGUUGUGAAGAUGUAAGCACUCUGCAGAUACCCAGAACAAACUUCCACAGUGCUUUGCUAAAAAAUAUGGUGCAAUGCUUGGCUGGAUGAAGCACGGUGAAAGAGCUCUGUUUUCACGGCUCAUUUAGUCCAGGACUUUUCUUUAGGGACAGCCAGCAAGAGCACCGAUUUUGAUCACUUUCUACUGAUGUGGACAAAGUUAUUCUGGGAUUUGGGCUGAGACUGACUCAUUUUACAGGACUUUUAAGAGGUUUUAAUUUCUACCAUCAUGGGGUAAAUUCAAAGUGGUCACCUGGAGAAGACAGUUCCCAGAUCUGCCCCACUCCAAGCCAGCCAGCUCCUUUCUCACAUGAACUUACAGCAGAGAUGCAUUUGGAAGAGAAAGACAUCUUUUCAGAAGUGUUUAACAGAAUAGUUUGUCGUUCAGCUGCAGCUGAAAGGGAACGUCUCCUUACCUCAAGUUUCUGACCCUUUUGUAAAAAAAUGUUCAGAUCUCUCUUUAAAGAAAAAUAUUUUUUAAAAAAUCAUUUGUUCUAAAAGAAGUCCUUACAUUUGGCAGAAACAGACACUGUUUGCUCUUUUUUUAAUGACCUGCACGUGCCACACUGCCCUCUUGUGCAAUGUUCCCUUGCCCAAACAGCCCUGGUGCAGCAAUGUCAGGGGCACUCAGGUGUGAAGGUGCUGAGAGGCCUUUAAGUACCUUGAUCAAGAGACUAAAAGAAAAUGCAAAAUGGAACUUUCCUCAGCAACUCAGGGAUUCCUCCCCCCAAAUCACUAGAAAACCUUUAGUAAGAACUCCUCCUCCCCCUCCAUUGUUACACUGCAGACAGAUUUAAAUAGCACCCUGCUCUGCAAGAGGGCUGUAAGGGGCCCUAGAGCCAUCCAGCUGAGAUAAAAGGCCACAGCCGAGUGUUUCUGUAAAGACAACAGUUGCACCAUGAGUGACAGAUCCUUCGUUAUGUCAGUACACCCCACCGCAAAGGGAAGAAAAGAUGUCUUUGGGCACCCUUUGCAGAGCGUUACCCGCUCUGUGCAUGCUCUAAUCCCUGUCUCUCAGCUCCAUGGCUGCCUGGCUCCCUGCGAGCGAUGCCCAGCAGCACGAACACCGGUGCCUGGUGCCCUGCGGGCAGGAGGCUGCUGGCAGGCACCUGCCAUUUCAUGUAUUCCACGUGCAGAAACCUGCACGGACGGUUUUGCUACCUCACCUCUACGUAGUCCCCCAGAUUUUCCCCCGUGGUUCCUGGAAUGGCCUUUCCUAUCACUGUGAGGAUGAAGGACGAUAAACUUUCAUAACCAUUUUUAUUUUUCUGUAUAAAAAUCGAUUGCCACCUGCUUCAUUUCCGUGAUAAAACAAGACUAAUUUGGUCCCAGGCAGUUCCUUUCUGAACCCUCCUUUAGCAUCAGCUCAUUACACUUAGAUCAACCAAGACAGAGACAUUAUUUUUUCCUUAAGUAAAUCUAAUUUCUUCCCUAUGCUAGCCAUGAUUCUUGGCAAAUGUGCUUAAGAAAGAAGCUUGGAGGAAAUGAGUGAUAUUUUUGAUUCUGAAGAAACAAAUGCCAAAAGUCAAUUUUGAAAGGAUAAUACAACUUCAAAUGACUCAUAUGUUUGUUGAGAUGCUGGGACAGUAGAGCCCUGGUGAAAGGAAGAAGCUGGGUUUUUAAACUGCUUAAACUGUUGAUCUUCUGCAUUGUUUGGGCUUUUGCAAUCAGAUCUCUAUUUCAGUUAAUAAAAAAUAAGGCAGUUACUCA